GUGCAGAUCACUUUCUUAAAUUAAUCGGUUAAGGUUUAAUCUCUCGCAGAUCAAAGCAUGAACUUUAUAUAAAAUCCAACAAAGACUACAUCAAGCUUUGGACUGCAUGUGAUAGAUUUGAAAAUAACUUGCAUAACUUCGAUUCCCUUCAAGUUCCAAGAAGUCCAAUGCCAACAUAAUAUUACAACAUUAUUCCAAAUUCCAGAGUCCCACCGCACCCACAAAGAAAAAUCAAAACUGUCAUACUUCAAAAGAUUCAAUUCCACAUCAACCCCACUUCUGUGGCAAUCCCAGACCCAUUUAAUUAAAAAAAGGAAGGGGGGAGUGGAGAGAGAGAAGAAAAAGAUAAUAACAGAAAGUGGUGAUAUUGAUUGAAUCAUACUGUUUUGGAUCGGC
Molecule: unclassified non-coding RNA, 396 nt
Filed under: Hevea brasiliensis (rubber tree)
Lineage: Eukaryota; Viridiplantae; Streptophyta; Magnoliopsida; Malpighiales; Euphorbiaceae
Source: RNAcentral